Molecule: long non-coding RNA, 262 nt
Filed under: Apteryx rowi (Okarito brown kiwi)
Lineage: Eukaryota; Metazoa; Chordata; Aves; Apterygiformes; Apterygidae
Description: lncRNA (ENSARWG00000011542.1)
Source: RNAcentral
AUGAGUGACUUAAUUCACACAGACAAGGGAAUAAAACAUGAAUUAACUAAGACAGUGAAGUCCAACAGUGAUAGCAAAACAAUCCUUCCUCAUGUCCUCAUUUCCCAAGCAGUUUCAUCAUCAAAACGAUGAGUAGUUCUCACAGCUGGGAUCCUGUGCUGCCAUGUGCUGUCACAAACAUGUUUCUCUGAAAGUUUUAAAACAACACUUCAGGCUUGCUUAUCCACUCUCACGCUAAAUUCCAAUAUGUAGGGGAAGAAAG